AUAGGAGUAUAAAGUGAAAUCUGUUCCAGUUACCCUAAAACGUUACAAUUUCACAUGAAAAGCCUAUUUGGAUUUGAAUGAAGAAAACAAAAAAAAAACCAGAAGCCCGGAGUUAACGUCAUUGUUUGUAUUUUGUUGUUUUGUUACUGUUUCCCGUCAAAGUGGAAAAACGUUUCAUCCAAAAAUCUAACGGCCUACUAUCUACAAAGUUACUGGUUUAAAUGGCAGCAAAAAAAUGUGGAACGCUUCACGAUUUUGCGUGUCAUCCUUGCGCAGGGGCCAUGCUAAUCUUCUCUGUAUCGUUCCAAUUUUAGUAUAUGUUCUGCCGAAGCAAGAACGAAAACUACUGAGGAGAAGGUUACAUUUAUUUCACACUUGUGGCAAAUAAACACUUGAGAAUUAUAACGAGCACUUACCUGAGUGAACCCUCAAUUGGUCCAA
Long non-coding RNA from Drosophila willistoni, 441 nucleotides. RefSeq lists it as uncharacterized. NCBI's taxonomy places the organism in Eukaryota, Metazoa, Arthropoda, Insecta, Diptera, Drosophilidae. The record is from RefSeq and is a predicted model, not a curated record. The transcript has 3 exons.